UCGAUCUGUAUGCGGGGAGACUCGCACGCGUACAGUUCUUCGAGGGGUCGCGCUUCCGAGAGGGGGUGCGGCUACCCUCUCUCC
Molecule: non-coding RNA, 84 nt
Filed under: Paraburkholderia sp. BL6665CI2N2
Lineage: Bacteria; Pseudomonadati; Pseudomonadota; Betaproteobacteria; Burkholderiales; Burkholderiaceae
Source: RNAcentral